This 501-nucleotide ribosomal RNA is filed under the name Eutropis macularia (bronze grass skink). Its description in RNAcentral is "partial 16S ribosomal RNA". It matches the Rfam family "Bacterial large subunit ribosomal RNA", at positions 1851 to 2607 of the family's 2925-position model. Lineage: Eukaryota; Metazoa; Chordata; Lepidosauria; Squamata; Scincidae. The record is from RNAcentral.
GGUCUCGCCUGCCCAGUGAAACUCAUUAAACGGCCGCGGUAUUCUAACCGUGCAAAGGUAGCGUAAUCACUUGUCUUCUAAAUAAAGACCCGUAUGAACGGCCAAAUGAGGACAAACCUGUCUCUUAUAACUAAUCAGUGAAACUGAUCUGCCAGUACAAAAGCUGGUAUAUUAACAUAAGACGAGAAGACCCUGUGGAGCUUAAGACAAAACACUAACCACCAACAUAGUAUACAGUCUUCAGUUGGGGCGACUUCGGAACAAAACAAAACUUCCGAGCAGAGAACCACAACCUCUUACCAAGGCUAACAGGCCUAAGAAAACUGACCCGGCUCACACCGAUCAGCGAACCAAGUUACCCCAGGGAUAACAGCGCUAUCUUCUUUAAGAGUCCAUAUCGACAAGAAGGUUUACGACCUCGAUGUUGGAUCAGGACACCCAGGUGGUGCAGCCGCUACCAAAGGUUCGUUUGUUCAACGAUUAAUAGUCCUACGUGAUCUG